Molecule: transfer RNA, 84 nt
Filed under: Gemmatimonadota bacterium
Lineage: Bacteria; Pseudomonadati; Gemmatimonadota
Description: tRNA-Ala
Source: RNAcentral
GCCGGCGUGGCGGAAAUGGCAGACGCAGACACUUCGCAGGUGUCCGGGUUACGGCCCGUGUGAGUUCGACUCUCACCGCCGGCA